AACGUCCCCAUUGUCCCCAUUGACCCCAAUGCCUCCAAUGUCCCCAUUGCCCCCAAUGUCCCCAACGUCCCCAUUGACCCCAUUGCCCCCAAUGUCCCCAUUGUCCCCGUUACCCCCAUUGCCCCCAAUGUCCCCAUUGUCCCCAUUACCCCCAUUGACUCCAUUACCCCCAAUGUCCCCAAUUUCCCCNNNNNNNNNNNNNNNNNNNNNNNNNNNNNNNNNNNNNNNNNNNNNNNNNNAUUGUCCCUAUUGUUUCCAUUGACCCCAAUAUCCCCAUUGUCCCCAUUGACCCCAGUGUCCCCAUUGCCCCCAUUGCCCCCGUUGUCCCCACUGCCCCCCUGAUGUCCCCAUUGUCCCCAGGUCUCCUGUUUCCGGGAGGAGCGGGACGUCUUGGUGCGCGGUGACCGCCGAUGGAUCACACGGCUGCACUUCGCCUUCCAGGACCCGCAGUGCCUGGUGGGGGAACGGCCCCGGUGUCCCCAGUGUCCCCUUUGUCACCGAUGUCCCCAUAUAGCCCCAUUGUCCCCAUAUGGCCCCAUUGUCCCAAUGUCCCCAUUGUCCCCAUAUAUCCCCAUAUGGCCCCAUAUGGCCCCAUAUGUCCCCGUUGUCCCCAUAUGGCCCCAUUGUCCCCAAUGUCCCCAUAUGUCCCCAUAUGUCCCCAUUUGUCCCCAUUGUCCCCAUUGUCCCCAUUGUCCGCAAUGUCCCUGUUGUCCCCAUAUGGCCCUAUUGUCCCCAUAUGGCCUCAUUGUCCCAAUGUCCCCAUAUGUCCCCAUUGUCCCAUAUAUCCCCAUAUGUCCCUAUUGUCACCAUAUGGCCCCAUUUGUCCCCAAUGUCCCCAAUGUCCCCAUACGUCCCCAUUGUCACAAUGUCCCCAUAUAUCCCCAUUGUCCCCAUAUGACCCCAUAUGUCCCCAUUUGUCCCCAGUGUCCUCAUUGUCCACAGUGUCCCUGUUGUCCCCAUAUGGCCCCAUUGUCCCAAUGUCCCCAUUGUCCCCAUAUAUCCCCAUAUGGCCCCAUUGUCCCCAUAUGUCCCGAUAUGUCCCUAUUGUCCCCAUAUGGCCCCGUUGUCCCCAAUGUCCCCAAUGUCCCCAUACGUCCCCAUAUAUCCCCAUAUGGCCCCAUUUGUCCCCAUUGUCCCCAUAUGGCCUCAUUGUCCCCAUAUGUCCCUAUUGUCCCCAUAUGGCCCCGUUUGUCCCCAUAUGGCCCCAUUGUCCCCAUUGUCCCCAAUGUCCCCAUUGUCCCCAACGUCCCCAUUGCCCCCAUUGUCCCCAUUACCUCCACUGUCCCCAAUGUCCCCAUUGUCCCCAAUGUCCCCAAUGUCCCCAAUAUCACCAUUGUCCCCAUACCCCUCUAUUCCCC
This 1358-nucleotide long non-coding RNA is filed under the name Phasianus colchicus (ring-necked pheasant). RNAcentral's name for it is "lncRNA (ENSPCLG00000017226.1)". The record is from RNAcentral. Lineage: Eukaryota; Metazoa; Chordata; Aves; Galliformes; Phasianidae.